Molecule: long non-coding RNA, 351 nt
Organism: Amblyraja radiata (thorny skate)
Lineage: Eukaryota; Metazoa; Chordata; Chondrichthyes; Rajiformes; Rajidae
Exons: 3
Source: RefSeq, a predicted model, not a curated record
GUUCCUUUAAAUUUUAGACUGCCCGUUAUAAUGUGGGUGGGAUUUAUGACGUGUCUUUGGGCGUGUUUAUGCAGUUUAACUGCUUGCGUGGUAGUUUAGUUGGGGAUUCGUUUUGGAGUGAAGAGGGAGAAGGUUAAUCCUUCGACCAUGUCAAGCCACAUGUCGAGCAUGUCAAGCCACAUGUCAAGAUCAUGUGAAGCAUGGAGACACGAGGAGUUUUCUAGUAUCUGAAGUAAUGAGCUGGAGUUCGAACAAGAUUGCCGGAACAAGACGGAAAACCUUGGAUGUAUCUUACUGUUUUCUAUCUACAAUAAAGAAAAUAUUCAUUAAAAGACUGUGUGCUGAAGCUUU